AAAAAGUCACAUGAUUUCAGGGAAACCACUGGGUACACGGCAGCGCAGAGCUGGAAGGAAAGUCCCAAGUCUGCUUCUGGGUCAGACCAGCCAGAGCAGCAGGAGAGCGGCUGGUUCUUCCUGAAGGUGUGAGCUCUGAUUCCCUGAGAAGAUGGCGGAAACAUUCUUAAUGGCUUUGGAAACCGGUUCUAUAACUCUGAAUGUCCUGGGAAAGGGGGCUGCUGCCAUUGUGCUAGCCGUGGGCUUUGUACUCAUAUGCGCACUCUGCAUACUAUGUUGAAAUAAGGCCCUGUGAAAACAAGACCUAGAGAAUGCAUUGGCAGGAAGCCUUUCCAAGCCCCUGGCCAGAAGGAGAAGGCUCCACCUUCCCAGGGAAUGUGUGAAGCAGCAUGCUAUACACAGUUUACAUUUUCAUAAUGAACAACGUCAACUUCGGAGCAAAAUAAAAAUGAAUUAAAUACACAUUUAUUGAGUG
This is a long non-coding RNA of Pipistrellus kuhlii (Kuhl's pipistrelle), 475 nucleotides long. RefSeq lists it as uncharacterized. The transcript is spliced from 4 exons. Lineage: Eukaryota; Metazoa; Chordata; Mammalia; Chiroptera; Vespertilionidae. The record is from RefSeq and is a predicted model, not a curated record.